GCACUUGCCUUGUGCCAGGCACCUUUCUAACCACUUUGCACAAAUUAUCUCCCUUGAUCCUCCCAACAGCUGAAUGCCAUAGGGACUGGUGUUCUACCUCGUGGAACUGCUGGAAGAAUCAGAUGAGAUACUGUGUGUCAUUAGCGUCUUCGUCUUACAGCUGAGGAAUCUGGGGCACAUAGAAGCCUCCGGCGAGAGACCGUGCUGUGUCCACCUGUCAUCUGAGACUGGUGAGUUUCUUAUUUAGAUUCAGACUUGUUCAAUCUGUUAGAAGUCAACUUUAUGUAAGGCAUGAUUUUAAAGAAGCUCACAGAAAAACUGGCUGCACAGAUUUAGGAAUAAUUCUGGAUAGUUGACAAGUUUAGCAUUGUUAAAAGGAGUAUGCAAG
RNAcentral lists this long non-coding RNA (388 nucleotides) under Mustela putorius furo (domestic ferret). Its description in RNAcentral is "lncRNA (ENSMPUG00000025145.1)". The record is from RNAcentral. Lineage: Eukaryota; Metazoa; Chordata; Mammalia; Carnivora; Mustelidae.